Molecule: long non-coding RNA, 393 nt
Organism: Alosa sapidissima (American shad)
Lineage: Eukaryota; Metazoa; Chordata; Actinopteri; Clupeiformes; Clupeidae
Exons: 3
Source: RefSeq, a predicted model, not a curated record
AGAGUAGAGUAGAUGAGAGGAACAGAGGAGAGGAGAGGAAAGUAGAGGAGAGGAGAUGACGGGUGAUGAGAGAGCACCUGAGGCCCAGCAGCUGUCCUGUGAACUUCCCAAUGGAGACAAACGUGGUGACGGUUACGCCCACCAUCCCCCGUAGGCUCUUGGGAGAGCACUCCAAAAGGAAUCUUCCUGCCAUGAUCAUCUCAAACGACCCAGCCGUUUUACUGAGCAACAUCAGCAGGGCCCCGCUGAUGGCCACCAGGUUGUUCAGCAGCAGACAUCGCUUCCUGGAGAGAUGCAUGAUGGGAUAGGCAUUCACCAGUCGCCCAGCGCACAGCGAGGCCAACAGACCACCGAUGCAGAAGAUGGACACGAUGAAGGACCAGAUGAGGGAGA